CUCAUCCAUCGUCGAGCCCAUAGAGAGUUUCUGUUGGUGCUGAUAUUUAAUGAAGUCCGUGAGCUGUGCGUCAAGAAAAGCCGCUAUUGUUCAUACCAUACCCGUACCGUAAACCGACACAGGUGGAUGAGGAGAGAAUCCUAAGGCCGGCGGAAGAAGCAUUGUCAAGGAACUCGGCAAAAUGACCCCGUAACUUCGGGAGAAGGGGUGCCUGCGAGAGCAGGCCGCAGAGAAUAGGCUCAAGCAACUGUUUAGCAAAAACACAGGUCUAUGCGAAACCGAAAGGUGAGGUAUAUGGGCUGACGCCUGCCCGGUGCUGGAAGGUUAAGAGGAGAGGUUAGCGCAAGCGAAGCUUUGAAUUUAAGCCCCAGUAAACGGCGGCCGUAACAAUAACGGUCCUAAGGUAGCGAAAUUCCUUGUCGGGUAAGUUCCGACCCGCACGAAAGGCGUAAUGAUUUGAGCGCUGUCUCGACAAUGCAUCCGGUGAAAUUGAAGUACCAGUGAAGAUGCUGGUUACCUGCGCCAGGACGGAAAGACCCCAUGGAGCUUUACUCCAGUUUGGUACUGGGAUCCGGUACUGCAUGUACAGGAUAGGUGGGAGGCUAUGAAUCGGUAACGCCAGUUGCCGAGGAGCCGCUGUUGGGAUACCACCCUUGCAGUAUUGGGUUUCUAACCAGCCGCCGUGACCCGGCGGUGGGACAAUGCCAGACGGGGAGUUUGGCUGGGGCGGUCGCCUCCGAAAGGGUAUCGGAGGCGCCCAAAGGUUCCCUCAGGAUGGACGGAAACCAUCCAAAGAGUGCAAAGGCAGAAGGGAGCUUGACUGCGACACCGACGGGUGGAGCAGGUACGAAAGUAGGGCUUAGUGAUCCGGUGGUAUUAAGUGGGAAUGCCAUCGCUCAACGGAUAAAAGCUACCCUGGGAUAACAGGCUUAUCACUCCCAAGAGUUCACAUCGACGGAGUGGUUUGGCACCUCGAUGUCGGCUCAUCGCAUCCUGGGGCUGUAGUAGGUCCCAAGGGUUGGGCUGUUCGCCCAUUAAAGCGGUACGCGAGCUGGGUUCAGAACGUCGUGAGACAGUUCGGUCCCUAUCCGGCGUGGGCGUAGGAUAUCUGAGAGGAGCUGUCCUUAGUACGAGAGGACCGGGAUGGACGGGCCGCUGGUGCACCGGUUAGACUGCCAAGUCUAUAGCCGGGUAGCCAAGCCCGGAAGGGAUAAACGCUGAAGGCAUCUAAGCGUGAAGCCCCCCUCAAGAUGAGAUAUCCCAUCCGAAAGGAGUAAACCCCCUUGAAGACGACGAGGUCGAUAGGGCAGGGGUGGAAGUGUGGUAACACAUGGAGCUGACUGCUACUAAUAGGGUGAGGGCUUGACCU
Molecule: ribosomal RNA, 1369 nt
Filed under: metagenome
Description: bacterial LSU rRNA
Rfam family: Bacterial large subunit ribosomal RNA
Source: RNAcentral